GAUGAACGCUGGCUACAGGCUUAACACAUGCAAGUCGAGGGGAAACGCCGGGGAAGCUUGCUUCCCCGGGCGUCGACCGGCGCACGGGUGAGUAACGCGUAUCCAACCUGCCUCUGACUGAGGGAUAACCCGUCGAAAGUCGGCCUAAUACCUCAUGGCAUCGUCUGCGGGCAUCCAACGACGAUUAAAGAUUUCAUCGGUCAGAGAUGGGGAUGCGUCUGAUUAGCUUGUUGGCGGGGUAACGGCCCACCAAGGCGACGAUCAGUAGGGGUUCUGAGAGGAAGGUCCCCCACAUUGGAACUGAGACACGGUCCAAACUCCUACGGGAGGCAGCAGUGAGGAAUAGUGGUCAAUGGGCGAGAGCCUGAACCAGCCAAGUAGCGUGCAGGAUGACGGCCCUAUGGGUUGUAAACUGCUUUUAUGCGGGGAUAAAGUGAGGGACGUGUCCUUCAUUGCAGGUACCGCAUGAAUAAGGACCGGCUAAUUCCGUG
RNAcentral lists this ribosomal RNA (491 nucleotides) under uncultured bacterium. RNAcentral describes it as "partial 16S ribosomal RNA". It matches the Rfam family "Bacterial small subunit ribosomal RNA", at positions 28 to 507 of the family's 1533-position model. The record is from RNAcentral.